CUGAGCGGCAGCGGAGCUGCGCUUGAGUGUGAUUGGCUCCGGCAGACAGGCAGAAGACGACCUGUUCACUGUGGCCAGAGUGUCUCCGAAAGGGCGUCUGUCCCUGACGGGCUGAAGGACAGAGGGCAGGGCUGAGACGAGAGGCACGGGAGGAAGAAGAAAGAGCGGAGGGGACAGCGGGGCGGCCCACAGCCGGCACGUGUGGGACCGAGUGCUCCUCAGCUCUGACGGAGCUCCGCUUGUGCAUCGGCAAACAGACAGAUAGGCGUGAACCAAGCUGGUUACGUAAACCCACCACUGCUCCGCUGGGUCUGCAGCGCUCUGCUCACAGAAGGCACAGGGUGGCUUUGCCACCAGGUUACGCAACAGGUUAAGAAGUGCUGACCUGGUCCCGGAAGGCGAUCCACCUGCAUUCGGAAGUCGUCCUUGAGGAAGAGGAAGCCAAUGAUGGAGAAGAAGUAAACGAGGAAGAUGGCCAGAACUGCGGUAAGAAUGAUGGAGCGGCCGUUUCUCGUCACGCUCUUUAUCACGUUGAGCAGCGUCUCCUCUCGGAUGACCAGGUCAAACAAC
Long non-coding RNA from Gasterosteus aculeatus aculeatus (three-spined stickleback), 570 nucleotides. RefSeq lists it as uncharacterized. Lineage: Eukaryota; Metazoa; Chordata; Actinopteri; Perciformes; Gasterosteidae. The record is from RefSeq and is a predicted model, not a curated record.